AAUAAGUUAAUGCAUGUAUUAAAGAUUUUGCAUUACUAAUACAUAGAAAAUGGGUGGUACUAGAAAUACACACCUUAAUACACAAGAUAGUGUAUAACUAAUGCUUGCAUUAGUUAUACAUUGACUAAAGAUUGUAUCAACCAAGGUAUUCAUAAAACAUAUUAAUUAAUACAUGCAUUAUUUUUGCCAAUACACUUUACCAAACGACCCCUUAGUGCAUUGCCCGAUAGUAUAUGGAAGCUCAUAACAGAGAUAAGCUCAUUUUUCAAAAAUUUAUGUUCUAACACAUUAAGGUAGGAGAACCUAUCUUUGAUGAAUAUCAAUAUUCGCUUAACCUUAAACAAGUUGGAAAAAAAUUUUCCUUCUGUUUUUUUUUUAAUGUUAUGGAGCAUCUUUCAAUUCACCUCGUGUAAGAGGCACGACUUGGAGUGCCUGUUCAGUGUAGAUGACCGUAUCCCUUUGAGAGGUAUUGACUUUUAACAUUUACCUUUAUGUGUUUUAAUUGAAAAUUAUUUCAUCUAAAAGAUCAUACUAUGCAGGACCAUUGGCAAAUGUAAGCAGAACAUAAAAAAAUAGAUCUCGAAUUAAGGGAUCAAUAUGUGGGGCUUAUUUGGCUAAGAGACCUCUUAUUUUUGUUCAUAUUAUUUUGACAUGAUUUACCAUUUCUAAGAAACCAAACUAAUAGGCAUGGUGAUUGAUACAAUACAAAUCAUUCAGCACUGCCAUUUUCAAUAUUCAAUCAACCAGGUAAAGGAAGGUAAAGGAAGGUAAAGGAAGCUGAAAGUUGGUCCACUUCGAUAUUUGAAUGAGGUUAAGUCAGCUACUACACAUGUAUUAUUAAAUUGUCCGUGGUCCUGCCUUUUUAUAAGUGAGUAUAUUUGUAUUAAUGACAAUCAUUCAAGGACUAUCUAAGUUUUAACUAAUGAAAAUCAUAACUUCGUCGGACAGCUACUUUGUGGCUUUACAUGGGGAUGUUGCUGUUUAUCUUAUGUUUUCAGUAUGGUUUAGAGAAUAUGUUCAUAAUCUAGUUAAUUUUGACCCAAAUGGCUAAUUUUUACGUGAUAUAACUUGGGGACCUGAUGCUAAAGUCAAAAAGUUUUCUAGGUACUCUGUCAAUGGGUACAUAUUUCAUAUAGAAGAGUUCUCUAAGAGCAAGAAAGGGGUGUGGGUGAAAGGUGAUGGUGGUGUUGAUUAUUAUGGUGUGCUUCAAGAGAUUUUAGAACUCGAUUAUCAUGUUGGUUGUCCAAAGAAAAAGUUGGGGUACUCUUUCGGUGUAAGUGGUAAGAUCUUACGCCUGGGUUAGGUACAAAGGUGCACCCUCAGUACAAAAUAGUUGAAAUUAAGCGUAUGAGGGAGUAUGGACUCUAUAAUCCAUUUGUCAUUGCACAAAAUGUGAAACAAGUGUAUUACGCUCCUUAUCCUUUGUGUAAUAAUAAAUCUGCAUGGCGGGUAGUUAUAAAAACGAAGCCCAUGGGUAGAGUUGAAGUAAGGAUGCAUUGGAUGUAGCAUAUCAGAAUGACAUUUCAAGUGUUAAAGAAAGGGUGGAUGAUGAAUUAGCAGGUGAGUU
Capsicum annuum is the source of this 1567-nucleotide long non-coding RNA. RefSeq lists it as uncharacterized. The record is from RefSeq and is a predicted model, not a curated record. The transcript is spliced from 2 exons. NCBI's taxonomy places the organism in Eukaryota, Viridiplantae, Streptophyta, Magnoliopsida, Solanales, Solanaceae.